This 429-nucleotide ribosomal RNA is filed under the name Reticulitermes flavipes (eastern subterranean termite). RNAcentral's name for it is "partial 16S ribosomal RNA". It matches the Rfam family "Archaeal large subunit ribosomal RNA", at positions 1889 to 2554 of the family's 2987-position model. The record is from RNAcentral. Lineage: Eukaryota; Metazoa; Arthropoda; Insecta; Blattodea; Rhinotermitidae.
CGCCUGUUUAUCAAAAACAUCUCUUCUCGUUAGUUUUUGAAGUAUGGCCUGCCCACUGACCUUGAAUGUUGAAGGGCCGCGGUAUUUUGACCGUGCAAAGGUAGCAUAGUCAUUAGUUCUUUAAUUGUGAUCUGGUAUGAAUGGCUUGACGAGGCAUAAGCUGUCUUAAUUUUGAAUUGUUUAUUGAAUUUGGUCUUUGAGUUAAAAUUCUUAGAUGUUUUUAUGGGACGAGAAGACCCUAUAGAGUUUAACAUUUAUUCACGGUCUCUUUCUGUUUGUGAGGGUUUACUAGGGCUGUUUAAUAUGUUUUGUUGGGGUGAUGGGAGGGAUAUUAUUUAACCCCUCCUUUGUGUUGUUAUAUUUAUUUAUGUUUGCUUGAUCCAUUUAUUUUGAUUGUAAGAUUAAAUUACCUUAGGGAUAACAGCGUAA